UACGUAGGGGGCUAGCGUUGUCCGGAAUCAUUGGGCGUAAAGAGCGUGUAGGCGGCCAGGUAGGUCGGUUGUGAAAACUGGAGGCUCAACCCAGAGCCUGCAUCCGAAACUGGAGUGCUAGAGUUCUGGAGGGGGUAGCGGAAUUCCUGGUGUAGCGGUGAAAUGCGUAGAUAUCAGGAGGAACACCGGUGGCGAAGGCGGCUACCUGGACAGAAACUGACGCUGAGGCGCGAAAGCUAGGGGAGCAAACAGG
Molecule: ribosomal RNA, 253 nt
Filed under: uncultured bacterium
Lineage: Bacteria
Description: partial 16S ribosomal RNA
Rfam family: Bacterial small subunit ribosomal RNA
Source: RNAcentral